AAUGGCUGCAGUAAUAUAACUGUACAAAGGUAGCAUAAUCAUUAGUUUUUUAAUUAAAAGCUUGUAUGAAAGGUUGGACGAAGUAAAAUCUGUCUCUUUUUAAUAUAAUUAGAAUUUAAUUUUUAAGUAAAAAAGCUUAAAUUUAUAUAAAAGACGAGAAGACCCUAUAGAGUUUAAUAAUUUAUUUUAAAUAAUUAAUUUAGAUUUAUUUAUUUUAUUUAUUAUAUAAUUGUUUUAUUGGGGUAAUAAAAAGAUUAAUAUAAUUCUUUUUUUUAUAUAACAUUAAUAUAUGAAUUAAAUGAUCCAUUUUUUAUGAUUAAAAGAUUAAAUUACCUUAGGGAUAACAGCGUAAUUUUUUUAAAGAGUUCAUAUCGAUAAAAAAGUUUGCGACCUCGAUGUUGGAUUAAAGAUUAAUUUAGGUGUAGAAGUUUAAAUUUUUGGUCUGUUCGACCAUUAAAUCUUUACAUGAUCUGAGUUCAAACCGGUGUAAGCCAGGUUGGUUUCUAUCUUUAUAAAAUUUUUAUAUUUUAGUACGAAAGGACCAAAUAUUUAAUAUAUAAAUAUUUAAUUAUUUUGAAUAU
RNAcentral lists this ribosomal RNA (581 nucleotides) under Duvalius carantii. RNAcentral describes it as "partial 16S ribosomal RNA". The stretch from base 340 to 498 matches the Rfam family "Bacterial large subunit ribosomal RNA", at positions 2473 to 2632 of the family's 2925-position model. The record is from RNAcentral. Lineage: Eukaryota; Metazoa; Arthropoda; Insecta; Coleoptera; Carabidae.